RNAcentral lists this transfer RNA (68 nucleotides) under Lype reducta. RNAcentral describes it as "tRNA-Leu". RNAcentral also lists the same sequence under 1 other name. Lineage: Eukaryota; Metazoa; Arthropoda; Insecta; Trichoptera; Psychomyiidae. The record is from RNAcentral.
ACUAUUUUGGCAGAAGAAUUGCAUUAAUUUUAGAAGUUAAAUAGAGUAUAUUUAUUAUAUAAGUAGUA